UACAGAGGGGGCCAGCGUUAUUCGGAAUUAUUGGGCGUAAAGGGCGCGUAGGCGGUUCGAUAAGUCCCGUGUGAAAUCCCUCGGCUCAACUGAGGAACUGCACGGGAAACUGACGGGCUUGAGUUCGGGAGAGGGAAGCGGAAUUCCGGGUGUAGCGGUGAAAUGCGUAGAUAUCGUAAGGAAGACCAGUGGCGAAGGCGGGUCUCUGGACAGUUCCUGACGCUGAGGCACGAAGGCCAGGGGAGCAAACGGG
Molecule: ribosomal RNA, 253 nt
Filed under: uncultured bacterium
Lineage: Bacteria
Description: partial 16S ribosomal RNA
Rfam family: Bacterial small subunit ribosomal RNA
Source: RNAcentral